Molecule: long non-coding RNA, 1926 nt
Organism: Scylla paramamosain (green mud crab)
Lineage: Eukaryota; Metazoa; Arthropoda; Malacostraca; Decapoda; Portunidae
Exons: 6
Source: RefSeq, a predicted model, not a curated record
GUCCACGCUGGCAUGGGAGAGUGAGUAGACGUUAGAUACAGGGAGAGGUGGUGUUUGAAGGGCGCGUGUGUGCAGCUGCCUUAUUUAACCUCGAUUUUCUCUCAAGACGGUGACACGUGCCAGUGGAAGCUUAAUGGCUGCCGGCAGGUGCUCGUGAGGGCCAGAAACACUUAUAAUAUUGACAAGUGACCCACCAGCUGCUUGGCCACCUGGGGACUGCUCACAGACGCCAUGGUGCAAUAGGAGACUACCCGAUCCCGUGCCUCCCGCCCUGCCCCACCCAGACACCAUGGCCCGGCAGCGACACCAUUCCACCUGCUACACGACGCUGGCUGACGCACUCCUGACGUGGCAGUGACAGGAGGCGGAGGGCAGGAGCAAGAGUCGGAUGGUGAAGAAAGGCGUGAUGGCGGAGGUGGUGGCUGUGGAGGGUGUUCCUGCAGGGUACCUCGGCAGGGUCUAGUGUGCAGGUUUGCAGUAAACCUCCCUGAAGGUUCCAGAGCUGCUCAGCAAGUGUCCAGUCCAGGCUGUCACAAGACUGUGUGAUGGUGGACCUUCCAAUGAUACUCACUGAAAACAGCUGUGCACUGCCACUCACAGGAAAUGAUUGAGUUGCCUUGAAGCUGAGAUGAGUUGGUCAGCUAGUGAGUGGCUUCAAUAAAGUGACUGUGAGGUGUUGGCUUCAAUAAAGUGACUGUGAGGUGUUGCCUUCAAUCAAGUGACUGUGAGGUGUUGGCUUCGAUCAAGUGACUGUGAGGUGUUGGCUUCGAUCAAGUGACUGUGAGGUGUUGGCUUCGAUCAAGUGACUGUGAGGUGUUGGGCAUGGUAUUGUGUUAUUGCAAGUGUAACCAUUAAUAAGUGGUACUGUGGAUAGCAAGCGGAAGAGACCUUGGGAGACUUCCGUUAAUGAGGAGCAACAAGCACACCUCACUGGAGUCUUUCAGGAACCAACAGUCAGGGCCUGAUGUGAAGGUGUCUGCAGCCAGUGUUUGGUGUCCUCUGUGCCUGCCUGGUGGUGCCUCAUUGCAGGGCCUGAUGUGAAGGUGUCUGCAGCCAGUGGUGGGUGUCCUCUGUGCCUGGUGGUGCAGCCUGAUGUGUUGCCUGCUUCAGUGUAAAUCUUGCAAGCCAGAUCUGCCAGGUGUCUCCAGUGUAGUAGUCUAGGGUGCUUUGCUUUGUGUCUUUCGCAAUAAAUAAAUUUGUGAGUAUCAUUCCCAUGUGAAUUAUAUAGUUUGAUAAAAUUACAGAAUGUGCUUGAUAAAAUUACAGAAUGUGCUUGUGUAAACUAAAUUUAUAUAUUGGUGGUAAACAAUUCAUGCAUCCCCAAGUAAAUAAAUAAAAUAAAUUAAAUAGGACCCGAAACAAUAGAUACAAUAGAUCAUCCUCCGGUCAAAAAAAAAAAAAAGCCAGGAUUGGCUGGCCUAUUUUUGGUUAAGUUUAAGGUGAAACUUGCACACAUAAGCCCUGUCCAAGCGACACCGGAGUCGCUCGGACAGGGCUUCUGUGUGCAAGUUUCACCUUAAACUUUUUUUUUUUUUACCAGAGGAUGAUCAAUUAUUACUAGUAUUUUUUGCUUCCAUUUUUUUUUAUUUUUAUCAGGGCUAUGAACUGGUUACAUCAGAAAGCAGCUUAUUUGCAAUUUGUAAAAAGAUUUUAGUAUAUAAUUCCACAAGUAUGAACAAGAUGAUUAAAUAUAUUUGUUUAAAUCACAUUGCCAAAGUUUCUGAGGAGGCAUGAAUUAUUACACCAGAAAGCUUGUUUAUUUGCAACUUGUUAGUAUAAUUCCCUAAGUAUGUACAAGAUAAUAUAUAUAUUGUUUAAUAAAUCAUUAUUGUUUAAUCAUUCCCUAAGUAUGUACAAGAUAAUAUAUAUAUUGUUUAAUCAUUAUUGUUUAAUCACAAAAGUUUAAUAAAUACACAAUAGGAUAAA